RNAcentral lists this ribosomal RNA (524 nucleotides) under uncultured bacterium. Its description in RNAcentral is "partial 16S ribosomal RNA". It matches the Rfam family "Bacterial small subunit ribosomal RNA", at positions 28 to 523 of the family's 1533-position model. The record is from RNAcentral.
GAUGAACGCUGGCGGCGUGCUUAACACAUGCAAGUCGAACGAGACGAUUGAAAGCUUGCUUUUGAAAGUCGAGUGGCAAACGGGUGAGUAACGCGUAGACAACCUGCCUUUGAGAUGGGGACAACAGUUCGAAAGGACUGCUAAUACCGAAUGUUGUAUAUUUUCCACAUGGAAGAUAUAUUAAAGAUGGCCUCUAUUUAUAAGCUAUCGCUCAAAGAUGGGUCUGCGUCUGAUUAGCUGGUUGGUGGGGUAACGGCCUACCAAGGCGACGAUCAGUAGCCGGUCUGAGAGGAUGAACGGCCACAUUGGGACUGAGACACGGCCCAGACUCCUACGGGAGGCAGCAGUGGGGAAUCUUCCACAAUGGACGAAAGUCUGAUGGAGCAACGCCGCGUGAGUGAAGAAGGGUUUCGGCUCGUAAAGCUCUGUUGUCGGGGACGAAUGUGCAGUAUUUGAAUAAAGUACUGCAAUGACGGUACCUGACGGGGAAGCCACGGCUAACUACGUGCCAGCCGCCGCAGUAA